This 731-nucleotide ribosomal RNA is filed under the name uncultured bacterium. Its description in RNAcentral is "bacterial SSU rRNA". It matches the Rfam family "Bacterial small subunit ribosomal RNA", at positions 771 to 1501 of the family's 1533-position model. The record is from RNAcentral.
AACAGGAUUAGAUACCCUGGUAGUCCACGCUGUAAACGAUGUCGACUUGGAGGUUGUGCCCUUGAGGCGUGGCUUCCGGAGCUAACGCGUUAAGUCGACCGCCUGGGGAGUACGGCCGCAAGGUUAAAACUCAAAUGAAUUGACGGGGGCCCGCACAAGCGGUGGAGCAUGUGGUUUAAUUCGAUGCAACGCGAAGAACCUUACCUACUCUUGACAUCCAGAGAAUUUGCUAGAGAUAGCUUAGUGCCUUCGGGAACUCUGAGACAGGUGCUGCAUGGCUGUCGUCAGCUCGUGUUGUGAAAUGUUGGGUUAAGUCCCGCAACGAGCGCAACCCUUAUCCUUUGUUGCCAGCGAGUAAUGUCGGGAACUCAAAGGAGACUGCCGGUGAUAAACCGGAGGAAGGUGGGGAUGACGUCAAGUCAUCAUGGCCCUUACGAGUAGGGCUACACACGUGCUACAAUGGCAUAUACAAAGAGAAGCGAACUCGCGAGAGCAAGCGGACCUCAUAAAGUAUGUCGUAGUCCGGAUUGGAGUCUGCAACUCGACUCCAUGAAGUCGGAAUCGCUAGUAAUCGUAGAUCAGAAUGCUACGGUGAAUACGUUCCCGGGCCUUGUACACACCGCCCGUCACACCAUGGGAGUGGGUUGCAAAAGAAGUAGGUAGCUUAACCCUCGGGAGGGCGCUUACCACUUUGUGAUUCAUGACUGGGGUGAAGUCGUAACAAGGUAACC